GAUGAACGCUAGCGGCAGGCCUAACACAUGCAAGUCGAACGGUAACAGGGAAAAGCUUGCUUUUCCGCUGACGAGUGGCGCACGGGUGCGCAACGCGUAUAGAACCUACCCUGUACAGGGGGAUAGCCCGGAGAAAUCCGGAUUAAUACCCCGUAGUAAUUAGAAUUGGCAUCGAUUUUAAUUUAAAGCUUCGGCGGUACGGGAUGGCUAUGCGUCCUAUUAGCCAGAUGGUGAGGUAACGGCUCACCAUAGCUAUGAUAGGUAGGGGCCCUGAGAGGGGGAUCCCCCACACUGGUACUGAGACACGGACCAGACUCCUACGGGAGGCAGCAGUGAGGAAUAUUGGACAAUGGGCUCACGCCUGAUCCAGCCAUGCCGCGUGCAGGAAGACAGCCCUAUGGGUUGUAAACUGCUUUUAUACGGGAAGAAUAAGGGGCACGUGUGCCCUGGUGACGGUACCGUAAGAAUAAGGACCGGCUAACUCCG
This 486-nucleotide ribosomal RNA is filed under the name uncultured Muriicola sp. RNAcentral's name for it is "bacterial SSU rRNA". It matches the Rfam family "Bacterial small subunit ribosomal RNA", at positions 28 to 505 of the family's 1533-position model. Lineage: Bacteria; Pseudomonadati; Bacteroidota; Flavobacteriia; Flavobacteriales; Flavobacteriaceae. The record is from RNAcentral.